This 419-nucleotide long non-coding RNA is filed under the name Nicotiana tabacum (common tobacco). Its description in RNAcentral is "long non-coding RNA (NTAB_LNC004364)". The record is from RNAcentral. Lineage: Eukaryota; Viridiplantae; Streptophyta; Magnoliopsida; Solanales; Solanaceae.
UUUAUAAACUAAAAUCCCAAUACAUAAAUCGAACUUUCAAUUCAUAUCUUAAAAGUUCAACUCAUAUCCUAAAAUUUCAAUUUAUAAACUAAAAGUCCAAUACAUAAACCAAAAUUUCAAUUCAUAUCCUAAAAGUUCAACUCAUAUCCACAAAAGUUCAAGUCAAAUCCUAAAAUUACAAUUUAUAAACUAAAAUUCCAAUACAUAAACCAAAAUUUCAAUUCAUAUCAUAAAGGUUCAACUCAAAUCUACAAAAGUUCAAUUAAAAUCCUAAAAUUUCAAUUUAUAAACUAAAAUUUCAAUACAUAAACAAAAUUUUCAAUUCAUAUCCUAAAGGUUCAACUCAUAUCCACAAAAGUUCAAGUCAUAUCCUAAAAUUUCAAUUUAUAAACUAAAAUUCCAAUACAUAAACCAAAAUU